AAACCUAAACAUUUCCUAGACCGCACAUCCUGUCCUUUCUCUCAGUGACUGACAUAAAGGGGGACAAAAACUACUAUAAAGAAAGAGAAAUAAUUCCCUCUGGAACUGGAUGCUUUGCAGCAGUGACCACCUGAUAAGAAUCUUAAAAGCUCUAAUAAUGCUUGAACAAUGACUCCGAAUCCCAGGGGAGUUGAAACGGAGGCUUCAUGGAUGCAGAGCAGGUCCAAAGAGCAGAGAGAGAAAAAAGAUGAAGUCAUAAAAACCAUCUCCUCCAUUGUUCAUAACAUCUGCACAGUCAGAGAGAUUUAAGGAGUGGCAAAAGCAAAUGAGAAACAAUGCCUCCAGUCAGCAGUUUCUUCAGAUUUGUUGCAAGACAGGCUGCUACCGGAGAUCCUUCCUGUCAAUGCCUCACCAUUCACAACAUU
This is a long non-coding RNA of Gambusia affinis (western mosquitofish), 425 nucleotides long. RefSeq lists it as uncharacterized. NCBI's taxonomy places the organism in Eukaryota, Metazoa, Chordata, Actinopteri, Cyprinodontiformes, Poeciliidae. The transcript is spliced from 4 exons. The record is from RefSeq and is a predicted model, not a curated record.